This 3372-nucleotide long non-coding RNA is filed under the name Malus domestica (apple). RNAcentral describes it as "long non-coding RNA (MDOM_LNC007194)". Lineage: Eukaryota; Viridiplantae; Streptophyta; Magnoliopsida; Rosales; Rosaceae. The record is from RNAcentral.
GGAACUCCAAAAUUAAGCGAGUGCGCUUGAGAGCAUUCCCAUGAUGGGUGAUCCACUGGGAAGUUCUCGUGUGAGUUCCCAGAAACAAAACCAUGUGGGAGUGGUCGGGGCCCAAAGCGGACAAUAUCGUGCUACGGUGGAGUCGAGCCCAGGAUGUGGUGGGGGCCCGGGCCGGGAUGUGACAUUCGCCUCAUCGUGAAGUUUUGAAAAUUAAAAUAAAACUUUCAGUUGAUAUUUUUGAGGGUGUAACCCCAUUUUAACAAUGUUUUGGGCCUCACUACUAUAUUUUUCACUUAUUUGCGUUGCUUUAGGCUUAAAUAUUAUACUAAAUAUACAUUUAUUCUUCAAUAAACCGUAAAACCACAUCCAAAUGCCUUGUAAAGUUUUUCCUAAUGCUCAUGAAAAUUAUUUCGCGAAAAUAAAAAAUUUGCAUUUUUCUCAAAAAAAACGUGGACUUUUUAGUAGGUUUUGCAAAUUCAUACAUAAAUCAUCGUUCAAAUUAUUUAAAUUUAUCUCCGCCUCACAGUGAAGUUUUAAAUAUUAAAGUAAGACUUUCCGUUGAUAUUUUUGAGGGUGUAACCCCAUUUUAACAAUGUUUUGGGCCUCACCAAUAUAUUUUUCACUUACUUUUUUAGUUUUCGGCUUAAAUAUUCUACUAAAUAUACAUUUGUUACUUAGUAAAUCAUACAACCGCUUCCAAAUGCCUUAUAAAGUUUUCCUUAAUGGUUAGGGAAAUUAUUUCACGAAAAUAAAAAAUUUGCAUUUUUCACAAAAAAUGUGGGUUAACAACACUCACGGGUUUUAGUAGGUUUUGCAAAUUCGUACAUAAAUCAUCAUUCAAAUAUUUUAUUUUCACCUUCGCCUAACUGUGAAGUUUUGAAAAUUAUAGUAAGACUUUCCGUUGAUAUUUUUGAUGGUGUAACCCUAUUUUAACAAUAUUUUGGGCCUCACUUCUAUAAUUUUCACUUAUUUUCGUAGCUUUUAGCUUUAAUAUUAUACUAAAUCUACAUUUAUUCUUGAAUAAACCAUAAAACCACUUCCAAAUGCAUUGUAAAGUUUUCCCUAAUGCUCACGAAAAUUAUUUCGCAAAAAUAAAAAAUUUGCAUUUUUCCCAAAAAAUGUGGGUUAACAUUCACCGUUUUUAGUUGGUUUUGCAAAUUUGUACAUAAAUUAUCGUUCAAAUUAUUUAUUUUCACCUUCGCCUCACCGUGAAGUUUUGAAAAUUUAAGUAAGAGUUUCCGUUGAUAUUCUUGACGGUGUAUGACACACCCCGACCGAGAUCGAUGCAUGCUGGGCGUCACUUGAGAGUGACGUAACCAUGUGCACAGUGCGGAAGCGAUAAGGAUAAGAAAUAUACGAAUAAAUAAAAAAAAUGAAAGUUAUUAAUGUGCACUAAUAAGCAGAAAGUGCUAUGAGUGAGAUACAAGAGUAAAUACUCCUAAUCAGAGCAUAGAAAGUCUAUGUGCAGUCCAGUAGGACAAAUACUAGUUAUACAAUACCAGAAGAUAUCCUACGAAUAUUUUAUUCUGUCAGAACCGCCGAGAUCCUCGAACGCCACCAAUAGCAAGUCUACCUAAAACCUGGAGAAGCGUAAAAAAGAAAACGUGAGUGGACAAAAACAAAGCUUUUCAAAAUCAUUUCAUUUAUCAAAUGCUCUAACCCCUCGCCGUAAAACAUGUAUACUUUUUCCCAGAAAUAGAAUAUAAACAUAUAUAUAUAUAUAUAUAUAUAUAUAUAUAUAUAUAUAUAUAUAUAUCAAUUCAAAUCAUGCUACACAUAUUCAUAAUCAUAAGUAUGCCAUGCCAAGAUAUAAACAAGAUAAGUAACUCAGGUGAAAAUAACACAUUAGCCGGAACCCCUGCAGAAGUCUGUACGGCUGAAUUCAUAGCUCAUUAGUCAAUCUAGCCGGAGUCACUACAAGUGACCUAUACGACACUACACUGCACACGAGCCGGAACCACUGAAAGAGUCUGUACGACAAGACUGAGUGUAAUAUAAUUAUGCUCAAUACAACGCUCUCAUGAUAUAUGUGCGAUAAAUCGCUAGUCACCCCUACGAGUCGGAACCACCUAUAAUGGUCGGUACGACAAGAUUGUACACUUAAAUUGGAUCCAAUGUGAGCAUAUGGUGCAGGAGGUGACAUUAUAUACAGGCCUAUGUCAUAUCUCUAGCUAAUCACUAACACCGGGGUGCAGGUGUAUGAGCUCUAUGCUUCUCAAUUAAUCACAACCGUUAUUCACAUUCACAAUUCAUAAACUCAACUGGGUUUACCUGAGCGUCUACAGCACCACAAUUAUAUAUAAUGCAUCAUAUACUGAACAUAAAUUUAUAUGCAUGGCAUUUCAAGGCAUACUUCUAUUUAAACGCAUUUUCUGGGAAAAUAUCAAGUAUAUAAGUAUUUACUGAAAACCAAAAGCCCACUCACUGGUAUAUCGAAGGGUCGUAGCCCCCGAGUCGCCCUUGACUACGCUCGUCCUCGGGAUAAGUCUCCCCUAUAUGCGAAACAACUAUAAAAACGUUAAUUUAAAGCACAUAACCAAUACUAGCUAAUAACUUCUCAUACAUUGCUCAAAUGGGAUGUUUGAAUAUACCAACGUGAUCUAAACAACCUCACGAACAUCCUUAUAUUUUUAGAAAAUUUUUCUGAUGUCCCACGCGCCGGCAAGGGCACGGCAACACGUGCAGGGACCCUAACGGAAUCCCCUAACCCCGUUAGGAAUAUUCCGUUAAAAAAGCAACAUAAACCGUUAAUUCUACCUGACGGCGUCAGAAUAUUCCGUCAACUCUGACGGAAUAUUCUAUCUUCUUCUCCGAUUAACCUCGCCGGUCGCCGUCGCCGUUCAUUGGAAACUGGAAAAUCACGAAAACCUUUAUAUCUCGUUCAAUUCUCAUCCAAAUUCCACGAAACUUGAACCAAAUUGAAGCUUAGGACAAGUAGAACAAAACCUUACCUUUCAAAAGUCCUAAAAUCGACGGAACUCGCCGAAAAUUCCUUCGAUAUUCCGGCUAAACCUGCAACUCCUUAUUCCCGAGCUUCCCAACGUGCAAAUCACUUCAUUUUUCUUCUCUGAGCCUCGUGAAGACGAUCUAAAGCUCCCUAUAACUUCAAAACUCUCAGAAAACUACACAUUUACGUGUGCAUGAACAAUACCUCAAAUUGGAGGUUAUGGUUUCUCGGGUUUUCGAGGGUUUCAAGUUCUAAAAAUGGUACGAAUGGACUCAGGAGCUUGUAGGGAACAAGAACAUCACUUUUUAAACGUCGAUCCGCGACUGGUUGAAGGAGUUUGAGGUUGACCAUACGGUUUGUAUGGAAAUGGAAGGAAAUCCGAGAGGGAAGGGAGAGAGAGAGAGUCAACGGAAGAGAGAGAAAAG